This 491-nucleotide long non-coding RNA is filed under the name Mus spicilegus (steppe mouse). Its description in RNAcentral is "lncRNA (ENSMSIG00000021953.1)". Lineage: Eukaryota; Metazoa; Chordata; Mammalia; Rodentia; Muridae. The record is from RNAcentral.
UGCACUCUCUGGUUCUAUAUUCAGACUGCAGAAGUAUCAGUCCAGCCACCCUUUCAGAUCUACUUCAAGGAAACACGAGCUUGAAAACUGCUCCCCGUGGUUUUGUCUGAACUGCUCACAUCCUGCAGCACACACUGGGUCCAGUGCUGGAGCCAGGAACCUAGAGAGGCAGGGAAGUUGAAGCUGCAGUAGUGAGAAGAUGAAGGGAACUUUGACCACCUGCUUCUAGAGAUAUACUGCUGCCUGAACUGGGUCAGACAGCCACAGGUGCUUCAAACCACCUUUUAUACCACUCUGGUUGGAAAUAGAACCAUUGGAGACUCAUCUUGUUACCUUCAGCAAAAAUGGAAACAAAUCAAGACUUUGAGAAUGCCAGUGGUCAGCAAAAGCUUGUUAAUAAAGCUUGUAGAGGAAGUCUCCCAGACAGUAUGCCUCCCUUGCCUAAAAUCCAUAGCAGUUGAAGUCACCCCUGUCUCAGCUGCUCCUUAAUC